Molecule: small RNA, 77 nt
Filed under: Xanthomonas sp. NCPPB 1560
Lineage: Bacteria; Pseudomonadati; Pseudomonadota; Gammaproteobacteria; Lysobacterales; Lysobacteraceae
Also listed under: 7 other names
Description: sX9 sRNA
Rfam family: Xanthomonas sRNA sX9
Source: RNAcentral
AUGGUCCACGCGUACCCUCCGGUUCUGAGCACGCCGUCCACACCCACCUGACGAUUGCUCGCUACGGUUUGUUCGCC